This 219-nucleotide long non-coding RNA is filed under the name Elaeis guineensis (African oil palm). RNAcentral describes it as "long non-coding RNA (EGUI_LNC066388)". Lineage: Eukaryota; Viridiplantae; Streptophyta; Magnoliopsida; Arecales; Arecaceae. The record is from RNAcentral.
UAGUUUUGUAGAUGGACCUCAUCUGGUCUUUGUACUAUACAUUAUUUCCAGCUCUCUGACUCCAAACGAACUCUCACUGAUUAGGAUUCAGUAUAGGAUUCCUCCGGAGUACGAGCUGAAGCUUCUCGGGCCAACUGGCCGGGCUAGCGCCCCUCCUCCUAGCCGCUUCUGCUUAUAUCAGGAAGCUUUCCGCGUCGGGCUUUGACUUCUGCUUCUACC